UACAGAGGGUGCGAGCGUUGUCCGGAAUCAGCUGGGCGUAAAGGGCGCGUAGGCGGCUUGAUCAGCGUGCGGUGAAGCCCGGGCUCACCCGGGUCGGCCGUGCGAACUGUCGAGCUGGAGCACUGUAGAAGGCAGGUGGAAUUCCGGGUGUAGCGGUGGAAUGCGUAGAGAUCCGGAAGAACACCGGUGGCGAAGGCGGCCUGCUGGGCAGUGGCUGACGCUGAGGCGCGACAGCGUGGGGAGCAAACAGGAUUGAGAUACCCCGAGU
This 268-nucleotide ribosomal RNA is filed under the name uncultured bacterium. RNAcentral describes it as "partial 16S ribosomal RNA". It matches the Rfam family "Bacterial small subunit ribosomal RNA", at positions 524 to 794 of the family's 1533-position model. The record is from RNAcentral.